CUAAACAAAAUUAACCCAGUGCGAUGUGACUGCAAAAAUUGAAGGCGAAAGAAUAAGAUCCGACCCGUGCAAGGAGAUAUUGCUCUUCCAAAAUCCCGAUCCUUUUCUAUCCUUGCUAUCUGCCAUACAAGUGCGUUUAAAAGUACGUGUGAGUGAGUGUCUGUGUGUGGUUGAGUGGUUUGAUCGAGGCCCUUACGAUCCGUGUGCGUGUGUUCUGGUUCGAUGUUGCGCGUGUACUACGCACAUCCUUGUGACCUUUCGGGUGUUGGUGUAGGUUACUGUAAAGUGUUUUAUCAAAGUGUGAAGAAAAGAUAGAUCAACUCACGUGAUAAAGUGCAAACCCUGAAGAGUCUUUCAGACGCGUGAAUUAUAAGCCAGCUGAAGCGGAAAAUCGAACGAUCGAAUUUGUAGCAGCAUGCGGCACGAUAUCUUCUGCCUUACCUAUCCGUUCUCGUGCCGAAGAUACUAAAAAUAAUCUGUUCCCCUUCGAAACGCCAUUUCUGACAUUUGCUGCCCAUCCUCCGACGAGUGAUCUGAUCGUUAGCGUACUACCUAUACAGCGACAAGUGUUUGCGUGUCAAUAGCUGGUAGUAGAUCCAGCUUCCGUCUAUAUACGACGAUUGCGACUCGGUGUAAAUGUGGAUAGCAUCGAAAACCACGACUUGACUACUACUACAUCCGUGUGCCGUCCGUGUGCCAUAACAUCCCUGUCAUCGAAGAAGCGGAGAGUGUAAUAUCUGACGACGCUUCAGUACGUCGUAAUUUGUGUUAAAUUUUCCCUUAACAAACACCAGCUUAAUUUUUGAAAUAGGAGCUGGUAUCUUUUCCCCUUUCUUUUUGCUGUACACUGAAACCACAUCAGCCAUGACCAGCAUAUUAACCGCGCCGGGCAAGUACCGGUCGCGGAAGGACUAUAGUACCGGCUCGAUCCCGACACUAGUAUCACUGGACGAAGAAUCUAGUCUCUCGACAACGACCACGACCUCGGUUUGUAGCGAUACCGUGCUGCUGCAUAGCUUACGGACGGCCAGCAGCUCGGGUACGAGCUCGAAUGGCAGCAACGGUAGCGGUAGCACUGGUAGUAGCACCAACAACAACAGCAACGCUAUGAACAUCAAAAAUGGACUCUCCACAAAACCGCCACGGCGCAGUUCGCUAGGUUUGGCCCUGCUCGGCGGUGGAUCGCGUAGCAGUAGUAGUUCCAAUGGUACGGAGAAAAGCAACAAACGACGAAGCUCGAUCGCGGUCGUCUUUCUUGGCGGUGGUCGUAAAGACUCCAAAUCGUCCGGAUCAUCCGUGUCCUCCGGCUCGAGCAACGGUCAUCAUCACAGCCACAACGGCCAUUCGAUCAGUACCAUCCCGGAAAAGUACAUCAAGACGGGUGAAUCGGAUAUCGAGAACGAUGCACCGAACACGGACACGUUCGUGAUGUUGGGCGAACCGGGUUCGAACGGAUCUCAGCAUCAGGACGCGUACGGUGGUGCCCCGGGAUAUGACAAGAAGCGCCGACGGUCAUCGUCCUGGCAAACAAAACUUGAACGACGACGCCGCAAGGGUAUGAUGGCAUCGCUCGAUGGGAGUGACACGAUGCAGCAAGACUCGGCCAGUUUUAGCAGCUUCGGAUCGGUGCACGGGCUCGAUUCGUCACCGUACGGGUCGGGACCUGCGGGCAAAUAUGGGCGCGAAAAGCGUCACUCUUGGUGGAACAUCUUCGUGCCGGAUAAUCUUAAGCAAAGGACACGUAGAGCUAGUCAGGAUGUGAUACUGUCCAAGAGCUCCGACACUCUCAGUAGCCCACCGUACCGAAGGAGCAAAUCCAGAAGUGUCGAUCAUGGACUAGCCGCACCGUUCGAUCUAGACUCGCUGCGCUCGAAGGUUGAGGGCAGAUUCGAAAGCAUCGAUCGACUAUCAAAAGAUGGCGAAAAGAAGCGAUCGAUGCCUACGAUACCCACAAUUACGUACACAGUAAAGGACCGGGACACGCUGACAUCCGUGGCGGCCCGCUUCGAUACGACACCGUCAGAAUUGACCCAGCUGAACCGUUUGGCCAGUUCGUUCAUCUACUCCGGCCAGCAGCUGCUCGUGCCAGACAAAAAUGCCAAAGCGAGCGCGGAUGGUGAAUCCGACACUAGCACGGAACGUUCCUCCAACAGUCCCACCGAUGGCCGCCGCAAGGGCUCGCAGGAAGAUUUGUGCCAGGAUGAGAAGGAUUUGCUGGAAGGACUUCGCCCGGGAUCACCGAAACCCGGUCACAUUGAGCGUGUUGCAUCACCGAACACCCAGAGCGGUGGCGGUGGUGCAGGCGGUGGAGGAGGAGGUGGCGGCAGUACGACCGGCAAUGCAGCUGGUGGAGAUGAGGACGAUCCCGUCACGAUUCAGCGCUUCUUAAAGAUCAACGUGCGGCACAUUACCGAUGGGCAGGGUGUGGUCGGUGGCGUACUGCUCGUCACCCCGAACGCGGUCAUGUUUGAUCCGAACGUAUCGGAUCCACUAGUCAUCGAGCACGGCCCGGAAAGCUACGGUGUCAUUGCACCGAUGGAGUUUAUCGUGAAUGCGGCCAUCUUCAACGAUAUCGCACAUAUGCGCGUGCAGGGUGCGGCCGGUGGUAAUGAGACGGCCGAGAAGGCGGAAAUCUACCAUCCGGUGCCGGUGGAGAAACCAUGCUCGCGCUGUGACACACAUUCCCCGGGUAAGGAUUCGCUGCUGGUGAAGGACGAAACAUUCCCGGAGCUGGGCGUUGGAUCGGUUGAGGGAUGCGACGAUCAGGAAUCGAUCUGCUCGAGCAACGAACGGGACGGGGACGCUUUUCCGAAGGCGUUCGAGCGCGAUCUCGUAACACCGAACAACCUGCAGCGCCUGCACGGCGAUUCGACGGAGAGCGGCGGCAGCUCGGUGGAACCGAAGGCACCCUCCACGGAGCCGCCCAUGUUCCUGUCGUACGAUCGUGACUCGUCGCAGUCUCACACGCCCAACUCCCUCGACCACAGUACCGGUGCGUCAGCGGAGCAGAAGCAGCAGGCAGGCGAUAAGACUGACCAAACCAAGACCAACAAUAUCCUGGAGGAUCCCACCAUGCGCUCCCUGGAGGAGCGACGGAGAAGUCUACUGGACCAGCACUGGGCAAUCCCCAGCAAGGACAGAUUAAAAUGUUAUUGCGAUCAAUCAUCAUCUCGAAGAUCUCUGGACGACGAAGAGGCCGCCAGCACGGGAAGUGGCACAACGGCUGCAUCCUCGUCGACGGCCGGUGCUAGCUCCAUCGGUAUGCCGAGCGCAGGCGGCCAUCAUCACGUACCGAUUCCUCCGAUCGCCGAAGCGGCUGGUGACGGACAGCUGGUGAAGCAAUCGUGCCACGAUUCGGGCAUCGACAUCCGUGACCCGGCCCACGGCACAUCGUUGACCGCGGGCAGCGGAACCACCGGUGGCAGCAGUGCGGCCAGUUCCGUGGCCAGCAUACCGCUAGUGGCACCGAUCGCAGCGAAAAAAGUGUACAGCGAUGCGGACAUUGUGCUGAGCGCCGACUGGGUACCGCCGCUAACCAUUGCACCCACCCACCUGCACGACAGCUCACCGCGUAGCAGUAGCUCCCUGGUGUCCUCGAACCAGAGCACCCUGUCCACGUUGACGUCCGAUGCCGGCGGACGCAAGAAAACGUCCAGCGUAAGCUUCAGCGUGGACGAGCACGAUCCUCACGGUGCUACCGGUCCGGCCGGUUCCGGAUCGCUCGACAAGGGCGGUGAAACGAAGAAGAACAAGAUGCUGAAGCGAUUGUCCUACCCGCUGGCUUGGGUUGAAGGAUUGACCGGUGAAGGAGGCAACAGUAGCCAUAAGUCGGAUUCGAUCGAAUCAGCACCCAACACAGGCGACUCUAACCAGAGUGUCUUUUCAAAAGUAUUUUCCAGCUCACCCAUCACAUUGGUUUCGGAGCUGGGUGGAAAUUUGUUUUUGUCCAAGACGCCGUCGGAAGACUCCGGAGGCUCGCCCGUUCCGCCACUGACACCGCACGAAGCGCAAGCAGGGGGGCCGGUUACGGCCGGACGAUCAUCCAUCGGUACAUUCAUUCGCCAGCAUCCCUCUGAGGGCAGCGUGAACAAGCAGAAGCCGGCACCACCAAAGCUGGAUUACCGCUCGAUGGUGUCCAUCGACGAUAUGCCAACACUGUUUGUCAGCUUCGACAUGAAGGCCCCAUUGUUUCCUCAACUUGAGAAACUUGAACUUAUCCCACGACCGGCCCGAGCGUGCCCGGACCCACCGAUGUAUCUUCGGUUGCGCAUGGGACGUAAGAUCGGCAAGAACACCCCACUACCGACGACGGUGAUGUCCUACGGCAAGAACAAGCUGCGUCCCGAGUAUUGGUUUAGCAUUCCGAAAAAUAAGGUUGAUGAGUUGUAUCGCUUCCUGAAUGCCUGGGUGCAACAUCUGUACGGGGAGCUGGAUGAAGCCACCAUCAAGGAGCGUGGCUUUGAACUCAUCCAGAUGGAUACCGAAUGGGCGGCGAAAACUGGCAGCCCGUCGAAGGACGGUCGUUCUGCCAGUGAAGGCGAAAUCUCCGAGUACACGCGCGAAUCAUGGGAGCUGCUAAAGGCCCCGUUCGUUAAAACCUACAACAUAAUCAAAAGUCAAACGGGAUCUAACGAUUUGGACGGUUGUGAGGUUCUGUCUAUGAGCACAGAUGACUACAGAAAAGCGACCCUGUUUGCGUCUGGUUCGUUCGAUCAGGACUUCCAGAUUCCGGACCUCGUCGGCCAAACAGAGAUCCUCAGCGAGGAGCAUAGGGAAAAGCUCUGCGCUCAUCUGCCGGCCCGUGCCGAAGGAUACUCCUGGUCGCUCGUGUUUAGCACCUCACAGCACGGCUUUUCGCUGAACUCUCUCUACCGAAAGAUGCACAAGCUCGAGAGUCCCAUACUGAUCGUGAUAGAAGAUACGGACCACAACGUGUUCGGUGCGCUUACAUCCUGCUCACUGCAUGUGUCCGACCAUUUCUACGGCACAGGCGAAUCGCUGCUGUACAAAUUCAAUCCCCACUUCAAGGUGUUCCACUGGAGCGGCGAGAAUCUGUACUUCAUCAAGGGCAACCCGGAAAGCUUGGCGAUCGGUGCCGGAGACGGAAAGUUCGGCCUGUGGCUGGAUGGUGAUUUGAACCAGGGCCGAUCGCAGCACUGCAGCACCUACUCGAACGAACCGCUGGCACCGCAGGAAGAUUUCGUCAUCAAAACGCUCGAAUGCUGGGCCUUCGUUUAAAACCUCCCCCAUUUCCUCCGAACCCUUCAGGAAGCGUAACGGGAUAGAGAAUGGGGGGUGCGGGGGGGACUGGAGUAUGAACUUGUUUCCCUCAUCCCAUCCCAUCACACACAUCGUUGCUGUCCCCACACUCGUGACACGUUGACGGCGCUACUAAAAGGCGCCUGCCCUGGUUUGGCUUCAAUAUUAGCUGCUUGCGGAUGUGUGUUGGCCGGAACGGGCCUGGUAGCUGGUCCUCGCUUCUGUGCGCAUCCGGUGUACCAUACAAACUGGACGAUGGAAACGGUUUUAAACGGCAGCCAGUGUCGUCGAGGUUUUGUGGUGUGUAGCAAGAGCGUGCAAGAUUCAAAUUAAACUAGUGAUAAACAGCAGCGAGCAGCAGUGCAACAACAAACACACGGACGUUUUACAUUAGAAUAUUUGAGACGAGAAGCGAGACGGACACAUACACACGUACGUAACCCAAUCCCAUCCCCCUCCCCCCACAAACACAGUUCACAAGUAAAUGUUGUUAUAAUUGUAGAGGGCGGCGUAGAGCAUGAUGUGGAAGUAUAUAUAUACAUAAAAAUUAGUAAAAGCGAUAGAAAUGAGACUAUAUAGGCGAGGAAGGCGAGAAGUAUAUACAUAUAUUUAAAAGAAGAAGAAGAAGAAGAUGAAGCAACAAAAACAACAUAAAGGAAAAUUGUAAUCAAAUGUAUCAAAUAUGUGCGCGUGUGAUGUAUUUCGAGUCGUGGUAUAUGGUAGGAAAUCGGAAGAGAGGAAGAAGAACAAACAAAACACGCUGCUGCAGCAACACAAAACUACAAACCGUCAUCCUUCUCCCCCCCCCCCCCCCAACUUCAUCACAAGAGACCAUCAGGUAGUUGAAUUAUGUAGACCAUUUCUCAUCCUCAUCACCCCCUCUUCAAACUGGUGUGACCCACGGAAUCAUGUAGUGCGCAUUUCCGUGCUUGUAGAAAACCUGCCCCCAAAUUCACCGCAUCCUAGUGAAAGGACAAGCGAGACACACACACACACACACGCGCUGACGCGCGUAGUAAUCCGCGCGCGCACUCACGUUAGCUGAAAAUUUAAAUCCAUUCAAAGGAAGAAAAACAAAAUGUAUUAGAUGGUGCUUAUUAGGAAUGUAGGGCAAGCAGCGCGCAGAGGAUAUAUCCGUCAAGCUUCGCGUGCCAAUUAGAAAGCACCGUUGUAUGUGUGUGUGUGUGUGUGUUUGCUUAUAGCUGUGGCCUGUGUGGUGGGUUCGGUUUAAUUAACCUGCCUGGGGACCGGGAGACCGAGAGACACUUCCACCCCAUAAACGCUUCGAAAAUGCUGUUAAAUCCUCAAAAGCAAAAUCAAAUUCGCGCGCGCGCUGGCUGGUUGUAUCAUUGGGCGCGGAAGCUAAUUGUGACCGCCCGGUGGUCGCCCGGUACAGCAGCUGCUUGCCCCAAGCAACAAUCCACAUCCACGGGCUGGAUCGCUGGCCGUUACUUGUGGGCUGUUAAUGUUAAUAAUUUGUGUACGCGUGUCUCUCUCUCUCUUCUCUCUGUGCGGGAAAAUUAAACGGCAGACAACAAAACACACACCACCAUACACGGUUCUUUUCUUGCGAGUGGCCAGCAAGGGCAAUAAGAAUACUAAUCAGGCGCUCUAAACCGUAGCAGCAGCAGCAUACAAAUACAACUAAGCCUCUCUAUUGUUGAACGUUUAAAUACAUACGGUCGGGCGCGCGUGAAUCCUAAAAUUUUGAAAGCCCCAAACACCACACACCAGAAACAGUCGGACAGGAAACUGUAGAAGGGUUAGUUUGAAUUCUGGGAAUCGUUUUGUUGAUCGUCAACUCUCUCUCUCUCCCUCCUGACUCCUGUUCCAGGUAUGCAAGAAGAGAACGAGCAAUGCAAACAAAAGGGACUAGGGACAGAUAAAUUAGGCGAAAGCGAUUCGAAAACAUUUGAAAACCACCCGGGCCAUCCGUAAGUUUUGCUUUACAGUUUGUUUUUUAUUUAUGUAUUAUUGUAGUACGCGCGACUGCUCGGUCGGUCUUGUGGGGUGAGGGGUGGCGUUUGAUUUUUUUUCCCGCUACUUUUGAACAAUUCGACUACAUAGUACAAAAGCGUCCGGAUACAAGUCCGCUCAGUGCUCUGAGUGCAUUCAACGGUCGACAUUCAAAUUGGCAGGCGGCGGCAAGCCAUCCAAAACACUCAAUCUGUUUCUCCUGCUUCCGGUACCUUAUAUUGUAAAUAUUGCUAUGGAUUCAGUUGUGCAAAUGAGUUGGCAUUCCCAUUUUUUUUUCUAUUUUUUUAUUGUGACACUUUGUGAUAUAUUUCUCUAUCUAAUUCUGGCUAUUAAUUUGCAUUACGGCAGUUCGGAAAUAUACGUUGUGCGCAUCCGUAGCAAGGUGUGCGUGUGUUUUAUGUGAGCUCUUAUUUAUUAAAAAAAAAUAAACAGCCCCCCCUCUACACACUCCGUUCAGUAAAGAAGGCGCUUCCGCCCCCCCACCCCCCCAUAUACGUCCCCACCCAUCCAUCGAUCCAUCUGCGCAGCCCAUGUUUGAUGUUUUUGUGCGUAUUAUGUUACGUUUAAUGUAGCCGUUACUCGAGUCAAACACUGUUAAUAUUUUAACAAUUUUUUGUAAGUGAUAAGAAACACACACACAGACAUACAGACACACGCAUGUGUUUCACAGGCGAAUAAAUUCAUUUCUUUUAAUUUAUUGGUUAAAUCGUUUCUUUUUGUUUUGCUUUAAAAUACUUUUUUAUUGUGUUUUAUUAUAAAAACUGGCUCACAUUUCGCGAUGCUUAAAUAAGCAAGCCCUUCCUUAGCUGAAAGAAAAGGAGAAUACAAGAGCGUCUGGACCACACUGGCACGAUCGAAUGCGUACACACCCGACAUGACACAAUACUAACCUUUAGAUACACAAAAAAGGAUGCUAGUUUUGUAUGUUUGUUGUAAUAUGCCUAGUAAAGAGAGAGAGAGCGUGUGCAUGCGAAAAAAGGUAAAUAAAUGGGUUUUUAUAUGAGCUGUGUACAAUAAAACUUGGUGAGCAUUAGUAAACUCAAUAAUGCAGCAAAAAGCUAACAUUUUCUGGAACCACUUAAUACUAAAGAUUCAGUUCAUUUUUUUUAAAUUUAGUUUUAUACAGUUUAUUUAGCUCGACAACACACUACACUUUAAAGCGACCAACCAAUUACCGCUUUCGAAAGGUAUUUAUUAAUUUUCUUCUGUUGAGUUUGCACGCGUAAGUCUUAUUAUCCUAUCUGUACACAUUGUUUUUUUUUUCCAGAACACAACACGAUCACCACCACCACCACCACGCUCAGUAAGGCACGCAUUAUCGCUAGUAGAGAGGUCAUUUUCAUUACCUACUUCACUACUACUAUCCAUGUUUGUUAAAUGGUAGAAAGCAAAUGGUAGUAGUGCAAACGCGUAGUAUCGCUAUGACUAGCGUGAGCGAAGACCCUACGCCGCCUAGACACACGAUAGUAUGUCGUUCUAAUCCCAACUUUAAAAUAAUCCCUAUCGUUCGCUCGUCCUAGUGGAAAGGUAUUUAUAGGCACGUCAGAGCAGACUCUAUCCAAAACGACAAAAAAAACAACAAAAAAACGGGAGCAAAAACAAUUAUUGCAGGAUGUUAUUGGAGCCGCACCAAAUUAGUAUGCGCCGUGCAGCAGCAGAAUCGAUGCGCGAGCUCUAUAUAUCCCGUUGAUUAAAGUUUUGGGAAAGUUUUAGACACAUCUUUAACGUACCUCAUUUCUGCGCGCGAUAACUAUGACGCUGUAGGUAGAAGAUAGGCACGCGAAAUAAGAGAGAGACACACAUCACCGACACCGGAACCAACAACAAUAAAACUCACAGAAACAGGACACUCGGCCGAAAUCUUUAAACUUAUGAUACACCGUAACCCUUUGUAUAACGGCUCAUACCGGCAGUGAGUGACUGGGCGUGUUAAUGGUCCAAAGGAAAUCCUACCGCAAGAGGAAUCACGGGGAGGAAUCACGAUCCGUUCGUGUACUAAAGUUUGUAGGCUAUUUUACAACACUGGGACGGAGCAGCAAGUGUCGAAGGAACGCGCGAGGGAACUUGUAACUUACUGCUCUAACCACUACUAACCACUUUAAAUAAUCUUUGAAUGACUUAGCUGCUAGGAGUUGUACGAGAAAAAGGGGUGAGAGGCGAGACACUCAGAUGAUUGGGUGGUCUGAACGAAUUUACCACACAUGAUCGAUAGCUCGAAGGAAAACUCGUGAGCGAUAAACGAAAUGCUACACUGCAAACAGCUUUAGAACGGAAUGGAACAUUUCUACUAUUUUCUUCGCCGGAAAAAAAACUGAUCCCGGUGGCCUCCUACCUUUCCCCUUUUUGAGAAGAGAAACAAACACUCACAUUUUAGCCAAUUAUUCCAACCUUUUGACACUAGGUAUCGCGUCUCGAUCAUCGAACGAGGGUUGUUGUUUUCUAAGCUAGCAAGUACUUCCCACGGAGGUGCUUAACUUCUUUUCUACACCGGAUCGCGGAACAUCGACUAGCAAAAUUCUAUCGUAAACUGUACACCUUUCCACCACACACCGAGAGAAGGAAGGAGGAUAUAUGAGGGAAAGGAGUUCGCAGAAAAGGGGCACGUAGGAAAAACUCGGAUCCCAUUCGCUGGUUGUCCCUUUACAUUACAGACACAACACACAACAGUCGAAAUUGCGAUUACAUAUAAUAGAAAGAUAGAAAACAAAGGGUGUGUGUGUGUGCUAUAUAUAUAUAUAUACCUACGUUUAUAUACAUAUAUUUCAUAUGACAACCAAAAAAAGGAAUCUCAAAACAUCCCCCAAAGCAAGCUAAAGUUAAUACAAACAUACCUAAAACACAAAAGUGGUUUAAAAUAUGUAUAAACGGAAAAGCGAUACAUAAUUUAAAAAAAAAAACUGUUAGUGAAAUGUUAAACAAAAACAGAAAAGUUAUAGAAGUGAUGUAGAAGUAACGUGGCGUAAAAGUAAAAAGCUAAAACAAAACAAACAAAAAACGAUAAACAAUCUUUAAAAAGAAAAAAACGAACAACAAACAAGUCAAACUAUGAUAUGAUAAAUAAAAAACAUUCCCAGUACUAGCAGAAAACGUCAGAGAGAGGGAGAGAGAGAAAGCGUGCGAAGAAGAAAACUGCUGUCAAUUACAAACGUAGAGACUGGAAUAAUAAUAUUAAAAAUAAUAAAAAAAACACACACACACAACAACAACAACAAGUAAACCAAAUCGAGCGAAAGCAGAAAACAAAAGCAAGUGAAAGGCACUCAAAAUAGCACAAAAGAAGAAGAAGAAAAACAGAGGAGGAAAUAGUGUGACGGGCGGAAAGGCGAAAACUUUAAGCAAAUUUGAUCUCAGCCGAGAAAGGAGGACGAAAGAGAGAAGGGAACCGGAGAUGCUAUAAAUGUUGAAUAUUUAAAAAUUAGCAGCAUAACACUCAUUACAAACAAACAAAUACCACGGAAACGACCAGUUAGUAGAGAAUGAUGCGUUCAGUUUCACCAUCACAAGCAGCUGAGUGCAGUGGUGUUUUUGUGUUUCUGUGGCAAGGCGUAACAAAAACGUUAAGAACAGUUAAAUCAUGUAUCAUGUAAAAUGGUAUUUAGCAAAAGAUUUAAUUAGACAAACAAACAAAAGGCGUAAACAAAAAGCGCACGCUUUCAAACUCGACAAGAAGGUGUAAACGAUCGCAGUAAGCCACGAGGAGUUUGGUGAUGCGUUUAUACUCAACACCUCAACGCUUACCUGACGACCAUUCAUCGCAUCCUGUUUCGUGUCUGAUGUGAGUGUAUGUGUGUGUGGUGGAAGAUAAAAUGCAAACGCUUGCUACGAUUGUUGUUGGUGACAAUUGGUAAACACGACCGAGAGGAGAACGCAACCGAAAUAAGCGCAAUUUUGCAAAACAUUUCCAUUAAUUUCCAUCUCGCGUUAAAUCGAAACAAAAAAGCUGGUACGCAAGGACGAAACUACACGGAAUCAAAUUAUCACCGUCAAUUAAUUAGCUGCUUUUGAGACCUCACCUGUCGCCCAUCCAUUUCCAUGUGCAUUUCCAGGGGAAGAUCCCCCCUCCGACGGAAGGUGCUAGUCCUGAAGUCGCCCAGCUCCAGCGGUUGUUAGCUCGUUGUUGAUUAUUGAUUAGCGAAUGCAUUCUUGUUUGUGCGUGUGUGUUUUAGAGUUUGUGCGGCACAGCCUCCUUCAGGUACCGCGGUGUUGCCGCAUAUGUUACAAAGCAAAAGGAAAACAAAAUAUUAUCACAUUAUACAACAAACAAACAAAAAAAAGAAGGGGAGAAAGAGGCGCAUACACUUAGCCGCUUAAUAAUGGGCCCUCUAUUUACAAAACGACAGCAACAAGGCGUUUGGCAUGUAACUAAAGAAAGCCUAGAAAAGAUUAUUGCUGAUGCGAAAGCAUAAUUGUAUCACCCUCCAGAAACAAAAUGGCGUGAGUUAAAAGUGUGUGUGUAUUUUUGAAACAAUUGGCUUUUGGUGGCUUCUAAGGCAAGGGAGAGAAGCAGCAGGAUAAAACGCUUAGAAGCAUUUUACUCGUAAUGCCAGUAGGAAGGAGAGAAAAUCCAUUCAAGGAUCAUCACUAGAAACCACAUUUAGCAAGCCUCUGCUCGCCACUCAUUGUAAGCCCGGACCCGGUCCCGGAUUUUGUAAAAAAACUGCUCACAAAUUUAGAGAAAGGUUGAUGAAGAAAAAUGGCACAGCAAACAAGCAGAAAAGCCGUAGGAAAAACCACAUCAUUGUUUAUGCACCUGUUGCAACUGCUGCUGGAAGAAAAACAAACAAAAAAGGUCGUGUGCAUGUGUGUGUGUGUAGCCUUUUUCCGCCGCAAAAUGCAGCGCUGUAAUAUGUGUAUGUGUUUGUUCUGUGUACGUGUGUUGAUGAUGUUACAUUAAAUGGAAAUGGUAGUGUGCUUUCCAUUUUCCACAGUGGAAAACUGCAUCACGCAAAAACGGAAACAUUAUUAAACUCACUCACACACACAGAGAGAAAGAACACAUAAACAAAACGAAAACAAACAAGAAAAUAGAAAAAAAGUUUGUGCAUGUAUUGGAAAACCUCUCCCGCCCAUAUACACGGAACG
Anopheles stephensi (Asian malaria mosquito) is the source of this 12318-nucleotide RNA transcript. It is a transcript of the gene named TLD domain-containing protein 2, with no coding region annotated. The record is from RefSeq and is a predicted model, not a curated record. The transcript is spliced from 20 exons. Lineage: Eukaryota; Metazoa; Arthropoda; Insecta; Diptera; Culicidae.